This 568-nucleotide long non-coding RNA is filed under the name Carica papaya (papaya). RNAcentral describes it as "long non-coding RNA (CPAP_LNC002193)". Lineage: Eukaryota; Viridiplantae; Streptophyta; Magnoliopsida; Brassicales; Caricaceae. The record is from RNAcentral.
GAGGAACGAAGUGAUAAGCUGUGAGGGUACAGAGGUGUGCAAACAUGUCCUUCUGAGAGGUAAGUCAUUUUUUGUGAUUUUUCUAAUGAUGUUUAGGUUCCUUUUAAGCUGUUCACUUAUUCCCAACUCCCUUUCCAAAAUAGAAACAAAUCGAGCUCAAACAGGCUCUAUUUUUGCUGCACCUUCAAACAGUGCAGGUAUGUUAGCCUUCCUUCCCCUUUUCUGAUUUUGAUUCUUAAAUUGAUUAUGUUUCUAAGGUUCAUUUAGGUUUUUAUAAGGGUCUACCUUCAUUUAAUCUAAACUUUAGUGACAAUUCUACUUUUAGAAAUCGCUAGUUUCAUAAAAACAAACUGUAACCCACUAUUGACAGUGUAGGCAACCCGUCUGUGUUUUCUAGUCAUUGGAAGUUGAUUUGUUCAUGCGUGUAGAUUAUUUUUGAAUUCUUUAGGAAGGUGAUACCUUUAGUAAUAUAUUUUAUGCAUGCAAUGGUAUUUUAUAGACGCAUUAUGAACAAUUUAGUUUUCAAAUCUGAUCUCUAUUGUGGCUUUAGGAUUGAAUGGAUGUGUGU